GUGAAUCAUCAAAUUUUUGAACGCAAAAUGCACUCUCCUCGGAGAGUAUGCCUGUUUGAGGGUCAGCCUAUAAAAAUCGACAUCGUUGCUGUUUCGCGGUGGCGUUCGUCGGAAAUUGGGCCAUCUUAAUCCCUUUUGUUUAAAGCGCUUUAAAUUUUUUUUUUGGUCCCUUGAAGUUUCUUAUAUCUAUUUUCUUUCCCUGUUUAUGUUA
RNAcentral lists this unclassified non-coding RNA (211 nucleotides) under Glomus sp. Its description in RNAcentral is "partial contains 5.8S ribosomal RNA and internal transcribed spacer 2". The stretch from base 1 to 65 matches the Rfam family "5.8S ribosomal RNA", at positions 84 to 154 of the family's 154-position model. The record is from RNAcentral. Lineage: Eukaryota; Fungi; Glomeromycota; Glomeromycetes; Glomerales; Glomeraceae.